UAUUUUGGGGGCGUCACAGUUGGUAUCAAAGCUUAGGGAUAUGAUCCCUGGCUGAGAUGUGAGACAAGAAUUAGGAGGGGAGAGACGAAAAAUUCCUUCGCUAGUAUGACCUACCUAAGUUUAUUUGGUAUUUAAUUGGUCGGUCAGAGUAUAGGGAUAAUAUGUGAUAUGUUAAUUAACCCUUGUUUUGUGACAGUAUUUGAAAAUGGCAUCCGAAAAUGUUAAAAUAAACAAUGAAGCACAUGAGACCGUUGAGUUAGCACAGAUUAAUGCCCAAGAUAAUGUGCAACAGGAAGACAAUAAUCCUCAUGUAAACAAUAACACCGAUAAAAUGGUGAACGAUGGAAUGUUCAGAGGCUUAGGAUUGAAGAGAUGAAUCUCCAAGAACUGAUUGUGCGACUUAGGAUUGAAGAGAACAAUCGAGGAUUUAAGAAGAAGAAUGGGAAAACUUUCAUUGAAGCAAAGGCUAAUGUGGUAGAACAAAGGCCAAACAAUAACAACAAAAGGAAGCGCGAAGGUGAAGGUACUUUAAAAACCAAGAAAAAAUUCAAAGGCAAGUGCUUCAACUGUGGCACGCAAGGACAUAAAUCAAAUGAAUGUCGCAGGCCAAAGAAAUUCAAGAAAG
Molecule: long non-coding RNA, 625 nt
Filed under: Panax ginseng (ginseng)
Lineage: Eukaryota; Viridiplantae; Streptophyta; Magnoliopsida; Apiales; Araliaceae
Description: long non-coding RNA (PGIN_LNC006331)
Source: RNAcentral